CCUACGGGAGGCAGCAGUGGGGAAUAUUGGACAAUGGGCGCAAGCCUGAUCCAGCCAUGCCGCGUGUGUGAAGAAGGCCUUAUGGUUGUAAAGCACUUUAAGCGAGGAGGAGGCUACUCUAGUUAAUACCUAGGGAUAGUGGACGUUACUCGCAGAAUAAGCACC
This 165-nucleotide ribosomal RNA is filed under the name uncultured Acinetobacter NB2. Its description in RNAcentral is "partial 16S ribosomal RNA". It matches the Rfam family "Bacterial small subunit ribosomal RNA", at positions 338 to 494 of the family's 1533-position model. Lineage: Bacteria; Pseudomonadati; Pseudomonadota; Gammaproteobacteria; Moraxellales; Moraxellaceae. The record is from RNAcentral.